RNAcentral lists this ribosomal RNA (252 nucleotides) under uncultured bacterium. RNAcentral describes it as "partial 16S ribosomal RNA". It matches the Rfam family "Bacterial small subunit ribosomal RNA", at positions 524 to 776 of the family's 1533-position model. The record is from RNAcentral.
UACGUAGGGGGCAAGCGUUGUCCGGAAUUAUUGGGCGUAAAGCGCGCGCAGGCGGUUAUUUAAGUCUGGUGUUUAAACCUUGGGCUCAACCUGGGGUCGCACUGGAAACUGGGUAACUUGAGUACAGAAGAGGAAAGUGGAAUUCCACGUGUAGCGGUGAAAUGCGUAGAGAUGUGGAGGAACACCAGUGGCGAAGGCGACUUUCUGGGCUGUAACUGACGCUGAGGCGCGAAAGCGUGGGGAGCAAACAGG